Molecule: long non-coding RNA, 2534 nt
Filed under: Carassius auratus (goldfish)
Lineage: Eukaryota; Metazoa; Chordata; Actinopteri; Cypriniformes; Cyprinidae
Description: lncRNA (ENSCARG00000034240.1)
Source: RNAcentral
ACAAUUAUUGAACUGUUAUUUACAUUUUGCAUUUAAUUUAAUUUGAUUUAUUUUUGUUUUUAAAGUAUUUGUUUCAUUUUUGCUUUCUAUCUCAAGUGUUUUGAUUUGAUUAUUUACUCAAAUGUUUAUUUUGUUUUUUCAUCAGUAUUUUUUCAGAUGAUCAGUUAUUUGAUUAUGUUUAUCGUGUGUGUGUGUAUAGGUUGGUGGAGGCGUGUGUGUGUGACUCGUCUCUGAAGGACGGUGUGUGUUCAUCUCAGGAGACGCUGGAGUCUGUGGUGUGUUUCUGCUGCACUGCUGCGACGCGGCCUGCAUCCCAGCAGUGACUGGUGUGUGCGAGCGCGUCUCGUCUCCUCAGGUGCUGCAGCUCUUCCUCUCUGCUCUUUCGUGUCAGUUUUCUCUGUGUCCUGAUCACAUGACCUCCUUCUCCAGGAAGCUCGGUAAGACCUGACCCACGGCUCAGAGGUCAAAGGUCACGGCCAGGUCAUGUUCUCCUUAUGUUGAAUGAUGUUGGUCUUCAUGUGUGAUUGGUUCAGUUUAGAUGCAUGUGUGUGUGUGUUUCUGUGUGUGUGUGUGUGUGUGUGUGUAUCAGCCGCUUCUGGAUUCAUCAGACUGACUCUGGAGAGUAAAGCUCAGCUGUGUUCAGGGAACAGGAACUCGUCUCUGAAUCAGAUCUGCUGUGAUUUCCUGCUGAAGCUCAGCAUGAGUCUGAUCUCACAGGAACACACCUGCACCAGUGAGCUGCAAGAUGUGGAGCGUGUCCUGCAGGAGUCUCUGCCGUCUCUGAGCUGCUGCGCGUCUGAUUGGCUGUCUGUGCUUUCUGAUUUCCCACAAUCCCUCAGAAACACUCAGCACUGCCUGAUCUACCUACUGCACCAGUCUGUGCUGCACGGGGACAGGUCUGUGUGUGUGUGUGUGUGUGUGUGCGUGUGUCUGUGUGCGUGUGUGUGUCUGUGUGUGUGUGUGUGUGUUUGCUCUUGUUUUUGAGUCAUAUCAGGACACAACUGUGUAUAAUGACAUGGGUAUGACACAGGUAUUACAAGGAGAGGGUGACUUAUGAGGACAUAACCCAUGUCCCCAUUUUUCAAAACACUUAUAAAUCAUACAGAAUGAGUUUUUUUGAGAAAGUAAAAAUGCACAAAGUUUCCUGUGAGGGUUAGGUUUAGGGGUAGGGUUGGUGAAUGGCGAUACAAUAUACAGUUUGUACAGUAUAAAAACCAUUACGCCUAUGGGAUGAACACACUUUUCACAAAAACAAACAUGUGUGUGUGUGAUGUUGUCACUUACUGACGGAGAUCCUCAUGGUGGUCAUGUGACCGCAGGUUUCUGAGCGACUCGGCCGUGUUCUCCGCUCUGCUGCGGUUCGUCUCGUGUGUUCAGGAUCUCCCUGCGUCUGUGCUGAGUUCAGUGCUCUAUCUGCUGUCCGUCACUCAACACGCCGGGCCUCGUCUGGACACGGUCUGCCACUGCUCUGACCUCACUUCCUGUCACCUCAAGGGUUAUUAUAGCAACAGUUAGAUUCAUUUAAAUCCAGGAGGGUGUCAGCGAGAGGUCGAGUGUGAUGAUGCUGAUGAAAUGUGUGUUUGUGCAGGUGUGUGUGAGCGUCCUCUCUCGUGCUCUGUCCUCCUGUCCGCUGCUCUUCUCUCGCUCUCUUCCUCUCUCCGUCCUGAGCUUCAUCUUCCUGUAUCCCGAGCUCUCGGAGCGCUUCGGAGCGCCGGCUCUGACGGGACGUCUGUCAGAGGAGACUCAGGAGCAGGAGCUGCUGGAGCUGAUCAACACACACCCUGCAGCGCUGCUGGCCACACUGGUGACUCACACACACACACACACAUCACAGUUAUAAAGGCAGAAGCUGACGUGAAAAACAUGGACAUGACAACCCUUACGAAAAAAAACGUUUAUUCAAGUGUGCUAUUAGUGUACUUCUUUUAAACUAAAAAUAGGAAAGUAUGCUUUUAGUUUAAAUUUACUUAAAAUGACAUUGAAGUAUACAUACAAAAAGUCUAAAUAUAUUUGAGCUAUACUCCUAGAAUCUGUGUUUUCAUUAUUAUACAGUAGAGGGCGCUAGUACACAUCUUCUGUACAUAAUUAACAAAAAACACACAAGUGAAGAAGAAUAAACUAACACAUGUAAUCUAACACAAUCAUCUGACAUGAAACAGCAUCAAAACUGUAACGUUUUGGAAUAAAAUGACGGAUGAAGAGGUAAUAAUUACAGUCAAGCUUUUACUAAACUAGUAGUUUGCUGAGACUAUACUUCAGAGUAUACAAAGUCUUUAAUUAGUAAACUAUGAGUAUACCUAUAAGUUCACUUUUAGUAUAAUUGAAGUACAAGCCACAAACAUUACAACAGUAAACUAGUUGUGUACUCAAAGUUUGCUACUGUUAUACUUAAAGUAUACUUGUAUAUACUAGAAAGUGGGCCAUUUUAGUCCCAAGGAGUAUUGAAACAGCACACUUACAAGUAUACUACUAGAACACUGAUAUUUGUAUACUUGCUACAUAAUAAACUUGAGGUAAACUACUUUCUGGUAAGG